UUUAAAAACCUAGAAACUAUUCAGAUCCCCAAUUCUCAUCCUCCUCAGCUCAAACUCACGCUCCUCCCCUCUCACCUCCUUCUCCAUGACUAGGCCCAGCUGCCGCCCGAGCCCGCUGUCCCCCUUGACCUCCCUCCUCCGCUACUGGUCCCGCCAAGAGCCCGCAUUCUUCGCCUCCCUCUCCCCCUCGACUCCACCACCUUCUCCUCCCUCACCCCUCCAAUCUUACCUUUUCGAGCAAAACGCUAACAGAACCACUAGUUAUACAAAAAAACCCCAAAAUUGAUUUCUCGCAGCUCGAUUUCAAAUCUCACGCUUCGCCUCGAAGAGAAUGGCGGUGCCAGAAUCGGUAGUGGAUUCAAUUAAAGAAACCCUAGAUUGCGUCGGUGAUCUCCAAACAAAUCUCUUUAACUUCUUAUCAGUGAAAGAGCUCGGAGUCCUCGACGAGCUGUCGCCGCUCCAGCAGGCAAGUGCUCUCCUCGUGCUCGCCCAGUCCGCUUCCUCUCUGUUGGCAGGUAUAAAACCCUAACCCGAGCUCAUUAAUUCUUUUGAUUUCAUAAUUUUUUUUUCUUUUUCCUUUGAGCAGUGAGAUUGAGGUACAGUGGAAUUCGACCAGAUGAUCAUCCUAUCAAGACUGAGAUUGAGAGAUUGAGCUUGUGUGAGGGGAAAUUGGAGCAAUUUGGUAAUUGGAACAAAGUCUGAAAACGUUCUAUCCAAAUCAUUAAGGAGGCUGCAAUUGAUGGAGCUCUCAACGGAAACCCUCAGUGCUACAAAAAUUGGGAAGUCCAUGAAUGCUCUGUACAAGCACAAAUCAAAAUCAAUCCGGCAACUUGCCCAGACCCUCGUCAAAUUUAUUUAAGAUUUCACUCAAUAGGAAUGGGACCUAUUCCUUGGGUUCUGAUGUCAGAGGUACUACCAGCACAAAAUCAUCAAAUUUCCCUCCAACUGUAUUAAUUUUUCUUUCCCAAGGCUAAAGUUCAAGACCUAUUCCAGAUCGGAUACAUCCAUUCAAUUAUUGUAGCAUUCGGCCUAAUGAUGUUUCAACAACUUGGCGGAGUAAAUGCAAUUGAAUUCUGUAAAUUAUGCAAAGUUCAUCAAGUUAUGUAAACAAUUGUAUUUUUUAUUAUCUAUGUAAACAAUUUAUAUAUCUCUCUAGUAUUUU
Long non-coding RNA from Asparagus officinalis (garden asparagus), 1162 nucleotides. RefSeq lists it as uncharacterized. NCBI's taxonomy places the organism in Eukaryota, Viridiplantae, Streptophyta, Magnoliopsida, Asparagales, Asparagaceae. The transcript is spliced from 6 exons. The record is from RefSeq and is a predicted model, not a curated record.